RNAcentral lists this microRNA precursor (207 nucleotides) under Oryza nivara. Its description in RNAcentral is "MIR812 microRNA precursor family". It matches the Rfam family "MIR812 microRNA precursor family". The record is from Rfam by way of RNAcentral. Lineage: Eukaryota; Viridiplantae; Streptophyta; Magnoliopsida; Poales; Poaceae.
AAUAAGUGCAGUUUUGCACUAUUCACGUUCAACGUUUGACCAUUCGUCUUAUUUGAAAAUUUUUUAUGAUUAGUAUUUUUAUUGCUAUUAGAUGAUAAAACAUGAAUAGUACUUUAUGUGUGACUAAAUAUUUUCAAAUUUUCAUAAAUUUUUCAAAUAAGACGGACGGUCAAAUGUUAGGCACGGAUAUCCACGGCUGCACUUAAU